Molecule: long non-coding RNA, 411 nt
Organism: Papaver somniferum (opium poppy)
Lineage: Eukaryota; Viridiplantae; Streptophyta; Magnoliopsida; Ranunculales; Papaveraceae
Exons: 3
Source: RefSeq, a predicted model, not a curated record
GGAUGAUGACGACGAUUCUGAUGUUGAUCUUUUUGGAGAGGAGACAGAGGAGGAAAAGAAGGCUGCAGAAGAACGUGCAGCAGUUGUCAAAGCCUCUGACAAAAAUAAAUAUCCGGAAAGUCUUCAAUUUUGUUGGAUGUGAAUCCAUGGGAUGAAGAGACAGAUGUGGCAAAGCUUGAGGAAACCGUGAGGAAUGUCCAGAUGGAAGGCCUCUCAUGGGGAAUGUUUGGAUAUGGUAUCAAGAAGUUGCAAAAUGAUCUAUCAUUUUAUUUUCUCUCGUUGCGGAACACACUUUCAUACAAGGUGAUUUUGAAGUUAUCUAGGUAAUGCAAUUGGAGUGGCAUGCUAACUUGAAUGAAUGUAAAUGUGUUACUGGCAGCUUAAUGUGAAUGUGAAAAAUACUUUCGGCAA